UCUUGGUCAUUUAGAGGAAGUAAAAGUCGUAACAAGGUUUCCGUAGGUGAACCUGCGGAAGGAUCAUUACCUAGAGUUUGUGGGCUUUGCCUGCUAUCUCUUACCCAUGUCUUUUGAGUACUUACGUUUCCUCGGUGGGUUCGCCCGCCGAUUGGACAAUUUAAACCCUUUGCAGUUGCAAUCAGCGUCUGAAAAAAAUUAAUAAUUACAACUUUCAACAACGGAUCUCUUGGUUCUGGCAUCGAUGAAGAACGCAGCGAAAUGCGAUAAGUAGUGUGAAUUGCAGAAUUCAGUGAAUCAUCGAAUCUUUGAACGCACAUUGCGCCCCUUGGUAUUCCAUGGGGCAUGCCUGUUCGAGCGUCAUUUGUACCUUCAAGCUUUGCUUGGUGUUGGGUGUUUGUCUCGCCUUUGCGUGUAGACUCGCCUCAAAACAAUUGGCAGCCGGCGUAUUGAUUUCGGAGCGCAGUACAUCUCGCGCUUUGCACUCAUAACGACGACGUCCAAAAGUACAUUUUUACACUCUGAC
RNAcentral lists this ribosomal RNA (526 nucleotides) under fungal sp. Re-H8. Its description in RNAcentral is "eukaryotic LSU rRNA". The stretch from base 210 to 363 matches the Rfam family "5.8S ribosomal RNA". The record is from RNAcentral. Lineage: Eukaryota; Fungi.